CUUAACUUACUGAGCAAGGCCAGGGAUCAAACCCAUAUCACCACAGAUACUAGCUAGGUUCUUAACCCACUGAACCACAACGGGAACUCCAUAUUUUCAUAUUCUAAUAUAUCAUAUUAUCAUACAAUUUUAGAUAGACAGUCAGAUAUAGAUACAUGAUAGAGAAGUAGGUGGGUAGGUAGAUAGAUAACAGAUUUCAAAUAAUUAGUCAUAUUUAAAUGCAAUUAUUGUUUUCUGUAUCGAACAUAAAUUUUCUAAUUUUCAAAUCUCUGAAAAGCUUAUAAACAUCAGGAUCUUGGGUAGUAGCAUGUCUUUAUUUAUGAUACCCCAAAAUUCUGAGUCAUCUUUUUGUAUGAAUUCUUUGUAUAAGUAGGAGUUUAAUUAUCUACAAAACAUUUCUCUCUGAAGCAAGGUUCCAACUAGAAAUAAAGAGACACACCAAGAGUUUAUAUGCCUUACGAGGGUCAGAUCAAAUCAAUGAAAUAUUUGAAACUGUAUUUUAAAAUUUGGCAGAGAUAACUUCCCUAAUGUUCAGACUAAGAUAAUUCAUAAUACUAAGAUUCUGCGGUUUGUUUUUUUUCUUUUUGAGUAUGAUCUUUUACCAAUUAGUCAUGAUUAUUUUGAGAAGAAAAAAAAACCCUCAGUGUAAGAAUAUUGUCUUUUAUUUUCCUUCAUUUGUUCAUUCAUUUUAAUGCCUUGUUUAUUAAAAAAAAAACUUUGUGAAUGAUAAAUGCAACCAAGGGUUACAUAUGCUUUGACAGAAGGGGUGUGGGGAACAGUGGGUCUCAAAGAAGAAGGUCAUUCCGCUUGGGGUGGAGAGGGAUUUAGAAAGGUUUUGUAGAGCCACAGAACAAGUCUUGAAAGAUGAGUAGGUCCUUUAUUUGCCCGUGUCCUCUCUUCCUCAAUUUUCUUUUACUCUUAUCUUCACUGCUGUUCCAUUUUCCAAAAGUGUUUUUGUGCAUGACUUCUCACUGGUGCAGCCAGUGGAGAUGGAAUCUGGAAGAUCCCUAGUUAGUCUUAGUUCUACAGAAUUCAUGUCUGCUCCUGGGCCCAGUGUCAACAGAUCGCUUACCAAUAACAAUGUACAUAAGAAACAGCUUAGGGAAGACGCUUGCAAGACUCAGAUCAGGGAGAUAUCUUGUAUUUGUAGGAAAGCUCUGAAGCUUGACUCAGGUAGCAGAGGUAGAGGAAAUGUGGUCAUCUUUGGUUUAGCUCUGAAAGUCGGAUGACGUCUGGGCUUUCAGUCAUCCGUUCUGGGUUGGACUGUUCCUUCCUGUGCUUACAUACAUCCCAUUCUGUUCUACAAGGAGCAGGACUGAAGUUCAAAUAGUAAGGAGCUUAAUGACACCAUAUUUCAAACAAUUAGAUUCCCUACGGGUUUUAGUUCAACAAUUAGGAUGGACAUGAACCAGCUGAGUAGUUCUUCCUCAGGUCCAGUUCACAAGGAUCCUUUGGCUUUGGGGGGAGGAAUCUACAUCUCUACUAUAGUUUUUUUCCUGCUGGAUUUUUUUCUGAAACUUAUAACUGAUUGUUGAGCAACAUCCUCAGCAAAGGGAUGGUGAUAAUUAAUUUAUGUCUAUUUACAAAAGAAAAAUGAAAUACAGAGAUAACAAUCUGAACUGAAGAAAUUAUGUAUUAUUCACCAAAAAAAAACACACAUUUCUUCACUAUUGCUAAGAUAAUGGGCUACAUUUUUCCAUCCUGCCAAGUUAUUUUUCUUUUUAAUUCUUUCCCAAAGGGUUAUGCUUAUUCCUUUCUCACAUUGUUAAUCAGACACGUUUUCUACUUCAUGAUUUUUUUUCUCAGCACGUUUACAUUUGGAAGACAUUUUUAUUAAAUGGGAAAGAAUUUAGGAUUUUUAAAUGUUUGAGACUUUCAGCUGGAGGGAAGGAAAGAGGAAGGGAGUGGAUACCUAAUAUUGUUUUUGUAAUUUACAUGCAUUUUGCUAAGGAAGACCCCAGAUUGUAUGUUUUAGACCUGCAAAAUCCUGGAUCUGCCUGGUGAUAUGGUCCAUAAAGGGCCUGGCAGGGUGUCCGGCUCACACAAGAUCCUCAGGAAAGGGUGGUGCUCCCUCUUCAUUUGUCUCUUAUUCUUGAAAGCGGCAUCGAUCUCACUCUGGCCAUUUAUGCAUCCCGAUCUCUAGCUUGGUGACCAUGCUAAGGAAUAUUCUCAAAUAAUUGUUGAAUGACUGAUAAAAAGCAGGACAGGAGAGAGGGAGAAACUGACUCAUUGCUAUUUUCCUUCUCAUACCACUAAGGGUACCAAAUAAUUGACCUUUCAUUUAUUUUAACUCUAGCGAACACAGACAACUUUCUAUUGAUGGAUAGCAGAGGCUUCUUGGUAUGUAGUACUGUGGUUUUUAAUGGGCAGAGUAAGAAGUGGUAGAUACGAAUUUCGUGGGGAAAUAUGUUAUUUCUGACGUCAUCAAAAUGCUUCAAGGUAGAGACAAUAUAUUAAUAAAGGCAGUCUGUUUUGUUGAUUAUGAGUCUCAUAGGCUGCUGACCCUUUUAGAAAACCAUCAUGUUUUUUUUCAAAGAAAUUAUUUGGAAGAGAUCUGAGAAGUUCUCCUUUAUUUUCUACUCUGUAUAGCUUGUAUGUUUUCCACUCUCUUCCAAAAAAAUUUUAGACUUUUUUCAAAACAUUAAGCAAUAUUCCUGGAUCCCGAUUAUUACUCUAAGUAAAAAUCUUAAAAAUUACCCUCUCUUCCCAGGGCAAAUUGUGAAUCCAGAGAUACUAUGACCACCAUCUCAGGAGAAAUACAAAUUUGGCUUUAACUUUUUUUUCAAAAAGCUUCCUCUUACCUUGGUUCCUUGGAUCCCCACUUUUUCCUACCUUUCUGACUAUUCAUUUCUUAACCUCUUUAUGGACUUCUGUUUUUCUCCUCCCUUAAACUCAGACAUUUUCUAGGCUUAUGUCCAAAGUUUCUUUCCUUCUUUUUAUGUUCUCCCUGGAAAAUUGCACCCAGAUCUCUAUCUUCAUCUGCCUCAAAUGCCUCCAGGGCUCUCCCUUGAGCCCCAAGCUCUUUCUUGAGCUCAUGAGCCUUAUAGUCAAGUGUUCUUGGGAGUCUGGGACCUAAGUCGUAUAAAGAUUCACGAAUAUGGUCCAGAGUCAUCUGGUUUAUGACUUUGGAGAAGGAAUACUGUGCUCUAGCCCUGGGGCCCCGGAUAAAGCUGAUGGUAAAGAAAUGAAGGUCUACAGAGCUGAAAAGGUGCACAAGCUAAUUUAAUGAUCUAAUGGUAAAUCGAUAGAAAGGGGAUAAUACUUCUUAACUAGUUUCUGCGAUUGAAAAUGGUAAAAUUAACACAAGUUAAUUAUUUCUAUUUUCACUCAUUCAGCUGACUACUCCCCAUUAAUCUGUUAGAGUGCUUUUUUAUUUUCAAUCUUUGCCUUUCAAUUUUCUUAGUUAUUUUUGUAAAACUUAAAGUAUUGCACUUAAAAGGCCUGUGAAAAAUAACUAAGGACAAUGUGUUCCAUCAUUAAAAUAAUACACAGACUUCAAAUUAAAAAAUGACUCUCUAUUCCAAAGCUUAAAUAUAAUGACACUCAAAAAACAAUUUUAUCUGAUAAAAUUCAGGUCAUUGAUGAAAGUUCAAUAAAUAGUAUUCUCUAUAGCAAAUAGUACUUUUAUUUGAUUAUUAGUUCAAUUGGUUUUUAUCUGUUUUAAAUGUUGGAUUCAGCAUCCUCAGAUAUGUUGGAUUAUCCUGUUAACGCAUGGAAAGGGACAAUCCUGUUAACAUAUGGAAACAGCAAAUUUCAGAUAGAUAGCAAUUAGUUAUAUAGGAUCCUAACCCCUGUCUCCCUAUAACAUUUGUCACCAUCACAUCCUCACAUUUUGAAUCUCUUAUUCCUCCCACGAUCAGUACCCCAGUGUUCAUGAGGCAAGGAAAAAGAAACAAAGCUUAAAUAUAAGCCUCAACAGAUCCAUACUUUAACAGACAUUGAGUAAAGAGACUUUGAUCACAAGAGAUAUCAAGACCCAGAAGGACUAGUUAAGAGGGAACGUUUCUCAGACAGAAAAGGAAAAGUUAAGCAGAGAGGCGAGAACGAGCUGCCUGUUCUGUGUGUUCCCUGCCCCUCACUCCAAGAUUUGAUGCUCUUGUCACCACUGACCUCUCCAUCUGUGAAGUGCUCUUAUUACGACGGUCGUGACAAGACAUUCUCUUGAUUGUCUUCCCUUCUCCCCACAGGCAAUGUUCCAGUCUCCCAAGAGGGUUCUUCCACUUUGGCCCAAUGAUGAAAACUCUUCUCUUUUAUUUAAUUCUCUUAUGGAACUGACUAGGAAACACACAGCCUAUUCUUGGGUCCAUGUUAUAAACUCCAGUUUUUAAAAAUCAAAUUCCCUGAAUAUUUUUAUGUUCUACAGUUUUCAUCUCAGUAUCUAUAAUGUUUUAAAAUAUGCCUAUAUAAUGCCCCCACAUAUCCUUAAGGAGUAAAAAGGAAAAACGUUGGGAUUAUAAUUUUGAUCUGGAUAUGCUUUGAACAUGGUCAUCCUAAUGGGUAGUUCAUCCAAGACGGCUAAAAGAUUGCUCUUUUGUAUUUCCUUUUAGAGUAGGCUUCAACUACUUACUCUCCAAAUAAAUGGUGUGAAGAAGGGAUUGGCAGGUGCUGUAGACAUCACCAUGGUGACUCUUCAUAAGGGAACUUGACAGCUGAGUAAAUUAAGCUUGUACCACAGAAGAGUCUCCCUGAAACAAGCCCUGACAAAGAGGAGCUCAUUGUAAAAGAUGCCAUCUUAUAAGAGGACACAGUGAGAGUCAACAGAAACAACACUGGCAAGUCCGGAGCAGAGUUGCCGGGACAAGAUCAAAGCAUGACACUGCUUAUACCUGUUGGUCAAGUUAUGUGGUUAGCAGACCAUCUGCUUAAUCCUCUUGGGGCCUGGAAGAGGAAAGAUUUUCUCCAUGCCAAGCAACAACCCAGCCAAUGAGAAACCACCUGCAACUCAGCCAAUGAGAAUUCACCAAAACAUGAAACUCUCUCAUUUUUCUCCAGUGGACUUUUAUUCAAAAAGCUCCUACCAACUCCCUCCUCUCUUCUAUAAAAGAACAUUUCUCCCCUUUAUUCUCCAGACUUGCCUAUGGUUCUCCAUUGUUUGUGUGUCCCAAAUUGCAAUUCUGCUAAAUUCCUGAAUAAACUCUAUUUUGAUCCCUCUCUCAAGUUGAGAAAUUGCUGAUUCUAAAACUUUAUGACAUUUAGAGAACCCAGGAUGGGGUUCCCAUCAUGGUGCAGCAAAAACGAAUCCAGCU
This is a non-coding RNA of Sus scrofa (pig), 5246 nucleotides long. The record is from RefSeq and is a predicted model, not a curated record. NCBI's taxonomy places the organism in Eukaryota, Metazoa, Chordata, Mammalia, Artiodactyla, Suidae.